Podarcis lilfordi (Lilford's wall lizard) is the source of this 77-nucleotide non-coding RNA. Lineage: Eukaryota; Metazoa; Chordata; Lepidosauria; Squamata; Lacertidae. The record is from the annotation of a GenBank genome assembly.
ACCCAGUAGCUGUAGCUCAGUGGUGGAGCUAAGGCUUUUCAUGCAAAUGGUUCUGGGUUCAAUCCCUGGGAGGGGUG